Molecule: long non-coding RNA, 297 nt
Filed under: Malus domestica (apple)
Lineage: Eukaryota; Viridiplantae; Streptophyta; Magnoliopsida; Rosales; Rosaceae
Description: long non-coding RNA (MDOM_LNC006372)
Source: RNAcentral
AAUUCGGUUCACUCAAAAUCCCUAGAACCCUAAAACCCAAUUUUCUCCGGAUCGUUCUUAAAUUCAACGGCAAACACAAAACCCAUUUCUGUUGAUGCAAACAUGAGGAUGCGGCCCAGAUUUCUUGCACCUUAUUCUACCACUAUUUUGAUAUUUUCCACACCAAGUUUGUGUUGAUUUGAUUUCCAAGCCUCCCCAAAACUUCACCUGGAAAAAGUUGCACACCAACUGGCCUUUUAAAUCGCUGUUGGGAGAUUUUAUCUCUAUAACCUACGGAUUAUUGUGAUUUAGUCCCUA